AGCUGCUCCGAGCGGGUGAGAGAAAGUCGAGCGGAACAAACUAACAGUUCGUGGGUGUGUGAGGAGGAAUGGAGCCAGCGGAGUGGGCAAGGAGGUUUCAUAAAGACACAGUGCAGGUCACAGAUCCCAAAUAACAAGGUUAAUGGAAGGAUGUUGUCAGACAGGAAACUCAAUUGAAACAUCAUAUCAGAGUCUGACAGAAUCACUCGAUUCAUCAGGACCUGGAUAUUAUCAGACUUGGAAUAAUGCUCCAAGGUGUUUCACGGGAGUGUUAUAAAGCAACAUUUGACACUGAGCCACAUGAAGAAAUAUCAGGGCAGAUGGACAAAGGUCUACUAAAAGAGG
Carcharodon carcharias (great white shark) is the source of this 345-nucleotide long non-coding RNA. RefSeq lists it as uncharacterized. The transcript has 3 exons. The record is from RefSeq and is a predicted model, not a curated record. Lineage: Eukaryota; Metazoa; Chordata; Chondrichthyes; Lamniformes; Lamnidae.